UUGAAGUCCUUAUAAAAUCAUUUCUCUUGAGGGUGGGGUGGUCGGGGAGGGGGCGACAGAAGGUGGACACAGAUAAAAGAGUGAAGGAAUUCCAAGCUGAAAGGUGACAAGCAUGCUGAGCCACAUCUAGCACUACCUCUCCUCAGUGAAGUGACUGGGGAAGCCAAAUGGAUGAUCCACCACCUGGACAACUUCUUGAGCAACUGGUCUCAGAGAAUGCCAUUUUACCCAUCGUGUUCCGACACUAGGGGAGCCACGGGAAGAGUUUGUGGCCAAGGAAAAGGCCCAUAGACCGAGAUUCAGGGGAUACAUAUGCCGGUUUGCUACAUGGAUAUUGUGUGAUGCUGAGGUUUGGAGUACAAUUGAGCUCAUCACCCAGGAAGUGACUAUAGUACCCAGAAGUUUUUCAACCCUUGUCUGCCUCCUUCUCCCACCUCUAAUAUUCCCCAGAAUCUAUUGUUGCCUUUUUUAUGUCCAUGAGUACCCAAUGUUUUGCUCCGUCUUGUAAAUAAGAACAUGUGGUAUUUGGUUUUCUGUUCCUGAGUUAAUUUGUCUAGGAUAAUGGCCUCAAGCUGCAUCAAUGUUGUUGCAAAAGACAUGAUUUCAUUCUUUUUUAUUGCUGUGUAGUAUUCCAUGAUGUAGAUGCAGCACAUUUUCUUUACCCAGUCCACCACUGAUGGGCAUGUAGGUUGAUUCUAUGUCUUUGCUAUUGUGAAUAGUGCUGUGACGAAAAUGUGAGUGCAUCUGUCUUUUUGGUGGAACAAUUUCUUUUCUUUUGGAUAUACACUCAGUAAUGGGAUUGCUGGGUUGAAUAGUAUAAAUUGGUGCAAAAGUAAUUGCAUGUUUUGCCAUUGAAAAUCAUGGCAAAACCCUCAAUUACUUUUGCACCAACCUGAUAGUUCCAAGUUCUUUGAGAAAUCUCUGAACUGCUUUCCUCAGUGACUGAACUAGUGUGUAUUCCCACCAGCAGUGUAUAAGUACUACCUUCUCUACACAGCCUUACCAGUAUCUAUUAUUUUUUGACUUUUUAGUAAUAGCCAUUCUGACCAGUGUGAGAUGAUAUCUCAUUGUGGUUUUAAUUUGCAUUUCUCUGAUGAUUAGUGAUGUUGAUUUCUUUUAAUGCUUUUUGGCCACUUGUAUGUCUUCUCUUGAGAAAUGUUUGUUCAUGUGAUGAACUCUGAUGGAAUGCACUAUUUAUAAAUUUCUCUAUGUGUUUAAUUAAAUAUUUUGUUUUUUUGCAUUUGGGGGCUAUGUUUUUGAACACACACAAGUUCAGCUUUGUUAUAUUUUCCUAUGAAUUUUUUGUUAGCAGUAUAUAAGUAAUCCUUUUGCUUAUAUUUUAUACAUGGCAUGCAUAUUUUAUACAUGAUUGUGUUAGGCCAUUCUAGCAUUGCUAUAAAAGAAUACUCAAGAUGGGGUAAUUUGUAAAGAAAAGAGGUUUAAUUGGCUCUCAGUUCUGCAGGCUGUACAAGAAGUGUGGCACCAGCAUCUGCUUCUGGUAAGGGCCUCAGGGAGAUUUUACUCAUGACAGAAGGCAAAGGAGGAGCAGACACAUUCACAUGGCAAGGGCAGGAGUGAGAGAGGGAGCAAGGGCAACAACUGACUCUUGAGUGAACUCAUUACUGUACGGAUGGAACCAAGCCGUUCAUGAAGGAUCCACUCUCUUGACCCAAACACCUCCCACCAGGCCCCAUCUCCAACACUGGGGAUUACAUUUCAACAUGAGAUUUGGAUUAUUCAUGAUGUAUCCCUUCUUUCUUUACUUUAAGUUUAUUACUUAUCUUACAUGAUUUUCUCAAAUCUUUAUUGUUUAUUAUUUCUGUGGGUUGAUCAAAUUUGUAUUCAAUUUAUGUUUUUAAUGACCUUGUUUUAGAAUUUCUGAUGAUGUAAUUUUACAUUUCAUCAAUGGCUGACUUUUCUUUCUUUGCUCACAUGAUCAAUCAAAAAUAACCCAAACAUGUCCCCCUAAAUUUCAGUUUACCAUUUAAUAUGCUCUAAUUUUUCCUUAUUUUUCUGCCAUCCCAAUAUCAUAAGAAUGUUAGAAAACUUUCACCAUCCUUUUCCUAUAACUUUUCUUCCUACCCCCAUGAGAACUUUAGAAUGUUUUACUUCAUCUUCUCUUUGUCCACUCCACCCUAACUUACAUCAAGAAUUUAGGGAGUUGUGCCAUAUUUUUAUCCUCUGUAACAGUUUUUUCAGAUAGGUAUUAUAUGUUACCCGAAGAUUACAUAUAAUUUGCCAAGAAAAACAUUGUUGUCUGGUGUUUUUCAGGACUAUUUCUUUCUCUUUUCUUUGUUAAUGAUAAGUGGAUUUAAAAAUACAAAUUUAGUUUUUUAAAGUUAAAUUAAUAUUUUUCCAAUAAAUUAUUUAAGUGUUAUCUCAGUAUUAAAAUUUACCAAAGAUAAAAUUAUUCAUGUAUUCUUCUGUGGUUAAAAAAAUCUCUAUUAUAAAUAUAAUGCCCACUUUUCACCAAUCACUUUUAUCAGAGGUUUGUUCAUCUUCGUAGACAACGUUUGGGGUUUGCAUUUGUUGGCUGGUCCUAUAUAUUUUGUUUUGUUUACUUUCUUUUUCUCUUGUCAAUAUUUUCUUUCUCCUACAUUUAGGUUUGUUUUGUUUCUUAACUAUGAGUUGUUGAUUACUCAUUGUUUUCAUCCUUUCUUUUCAUGUUAGUAUUUAACAUUAUACCUUUUACUAUGGACAGUUUUGUAGCUGCAGGUUACAUUUUUUUAAUAUAGUAUGGUCAUCAUUGUUAUGUUCUAGUUUCUAAUGUACGUUUUAAUUUUUUCUUAGAGUCAAAAUAAUCUGGAAGAGGGUUUUGAUACUGAUAUAUAUUAAAUUAAUAUAUAUAAAUGAUUAUAUUAUUUGAUAAAACUUACUGUGAAUUAUUAAGUGUUCAAUAUUUAUAUAUAUUCCAUGUGUGUUUGUAAAGACUGUGUACCCUCAAUUACUGGGUGCAGAGUUGUGCAUCUGUUCAUUAGAUAAAGCUUAUAAAUCAUAUUUUUCAAAUAAUAUAGGUUCAUAUCAAUUAAUUACUGGAAGAGGUAGGCUAAAAUGUCCAACUCUGAUGGAAUUUCUCUAUGUGUUUAAAUAUUUUGUUUUUGCAUUUGGGGGCUAUGUUUUUAAGCUCAUACAAGUUCAUCUUUGUCGUAUUUUCCUAUAAAUUUUUCCUGUUAGCAAUAUAUAAGUAAUCCUUUUGCUUAUCAUUAUGCUGCUGGAAUGUAUAUUUUAUUAAUAAGGCUUUAUUUAUUUAUUUAUUUAUUUUUGAGACAGAGCCUCACUCUGUCACCCAGGCUAGAGUGCAGUGGCACGAUCUCAGCUCACUGCAAGCUCCACCUCCCGGGUUCACGCCAUUCUCCCACCUCAGCCUCCCAAGUAGCUGGGACUACAGGUGCCUGCCACCACGCCUGGCUAAUUUUUUUUGUAUUUUUAGUAGAGACGGGGUUUCACCAUAUUAGCCAGGAUGGUCUCGAUCUCCUGACCCCAUGAUCUGCCUGCCUUGGCCUCCCAAAGUGUUGGGAUUACAGGUGUGAGCCACUGCACCCGGCCAAUAAGGCUUCAAUAGCUUUGCUUGGUAGUCUUUUUUUUAGUCUAUCAUUCUCUAUCUCUUUAUUAUAUUCAAUGUAUUUUGAUGUGUCUCUUAUAAACAUUGCAAGGAUUUGUUAAAAAUCUUAUCAAACAGGAAUGACUUUCACUUUUACCCAUACAAAACAUAAAGCUAAAAGAUUGGACAAAAUAUGUGAAGCAAUGAUUUCCAGACAGUGGACUUUGGACAUUGACAGUGCAAGCCUUUAAUCCCUAACAGAAGAGAAUCUCACGAGAUGACUCUCACUUCAUGCUAGCUCUGUGCCUGGAGAAAAUUUUCUGAGCACAAAGAGGUAGAAUGCAACCAGAAAGAAAACUGUGGCCCUACUGAACUGAGGAAGAAGAGGUCAGAGUUCUGGAAUCAGAAAGAGCAAGUAGGAAGGGUGCUGCACCUAAGGACUCUAGAUCCUUGGUUUGGGACUGGGCCUCACACAUGUAAUGUGAGGCUCUUGAGACUGAGGAGGACUGCUGUUCGGUCAGGAUCAGAAGGAAUAUGCUAGAGUUCAAGCCACCAUGCAAGAUCCGUGAGCAACUCCUUAGGUGAAUUGUGAAAGACAGCCAGGUAUACUCUUUGCUAUUGCAAAUGGUCACACUUUCACUUCUAUCCAAGACUUACUGUUGAUUUUACCUUUCCCCUCUGUUUUCAUUAUGCUUGUGGGUUUUUUCCUGAACCUUUUUCACUCUGUCAAAAUGUGUGCCAGGGCUCUCUGGGACCAUUAUCCAAAUAAAACAUAAAAAUAUUUCUUUGCCAAUUUUUCUUAAAAGGAAUUGACCUGUAGUGUCAUUAAAAAUAUAAAAUUGAUUUGAGGGUAGAUAUAAGACCCAAAUAUCAUUAACCAGGUAUUUAAAUAGGAAUUAUUUAACUAGAUAAACUCCUUGUCAAUGCAUAUUGUCAAGUUUUAAAAAAUGUUACUCAGAGACUGAUGCAAUCAACUCGCUAGUUCUGGAAUAGGGUAAAGACUAGAGGCAAAGAACAGUUCAUGAGAAUUAAUAGUGUAGGUAGCCAUCUACAAAAUGUUACUGACUGGCCUGCCAUAGGCUCUGUCAUAAUGUGGCCGACUGCCACGGUUACUACUUGAGACGGUCAUUAUAGCAGUUACUGUUGUUACUGCCUGAGACCGUCAUUACAAACUGAACGAAGGGACGAACUUAGAAAUUAUAACAAAAAACAAAAGAAACUGUUUUAAAGGAAGGGAAGCCGGGGAAGAAGAAGAGAGCUCCCCACUUCCAGUGAGCAAAGGCACCCCUGAGCUUCCACAGCCCCUCCUAUUUAUUGGGUAACAAAAGCGAGGAGAAGGAGGUAACAACUGGUCAGCUGCUUAAUUGAUCACACGUUCAUAUUGUUACUAACAGGCUUCAGAUGUACCUAAUCACAAGAAACACUGCGCUUGGGGCAUGACUGCCCUCAGCAUUCCUUCUGGAU
Molecule: long non-coding RNA, 5005 nt
Filed under: Homo sapiens (human)
Lineage: Eukaryota; Metazoa; Chordata; Mammalia; Primates; Hominidae
Description: HSALNT0114471
Source: RNAcentral